Molecule: long non-coding RNA, 8246 nt
Organism: Loxodonta africana (African savanna elephant)
Lineage: Eukaryota; Metazoa; Chordata; Mammalia; Proboscidea; Elephantidae
Exons: 3
Source: RefSeq, a predicted model, not a curated record
AAGGAGCGGGGAGGUUGUGGGAGUCAUGGAAGAAACCAAUAGAGUCAGAAAGAUACUACACCAGCUCAGGGACCUGGCUAGUGUGGAUGGGCAAAUCAAAGUGGCCACAGGCAGAAGUGGUUGCCUCCUGGUCAAGAAACUGUAGCUGGCAGGAAGCAGGAGGCUGAAAGGGGAGGGGAAAAAGAGUGGGGGUUACGAAAGCAUGUAUCGCUUGUUACUGGGUGUUUUGUCUUCUUUUGGGAACUUCGCGAAACUGCUUCCCCAUACUCCCUGUCUACCAAUCUGUGAUGUGGGUGGGGGUGAAUUCAAGUGGUACAGAUGCUGCAUUUCCCAGUGGGCUGAGCCGUAGUAGUCAGCCAGGGAGCUCCGAGAUAGAGCGGCAGGAAGAGGAUGGGGGUGGGAAAGGAUGUAUUGCUGGUUACUGGGUGUUCUGUCUUCUGCUGGGAGCUCUGUGAAGCUGCUUUCUUCUGCUUCCUGUCAGCUGAUCUCCAGCAGGAGUUCAAGAUGGCUAAUCUGUGCUGCAUUAACUGAUAAGUGUGUUUCAGGAAAGGCAGAAGAGAAAAUCACCAGAAAGAAUAUCCCAACAAACAUAACUCUGGAUCAUGGAAUACGUGGUUACUUCAAAACCUUUGUCUAGAAGAAAUGAAUCCCUGGGUAGCGCAAACGGUUAACUUGCUCGACUGCUAACCAAAAGGUUUGAGUCCACCCAGCGACACUGCAGAAGAAAGGCCUACCGAUCUAUUUUGCAAAAAAAUCAGCCAUUGAAAACCGUGUGGAUUACAGUUCUACUCUGACACACAUGGAGUCACCACGAGUCGGAGUAGCCAUACUCUUUAUGGCCUUUAAGGAACGGUUUAUUUUUGGGAAACAGAUAUUUCACUUUUAAUUUCAUUUUAAUUUGAUUUCAUUACUUUCAAUUUAAUUUACUUAUUUCAUCAGCAUAUUCAUGAAGAAACCACUAUGUGUUAGGAUUGUCAGGAUAAAGUAUGAGAUGUACUUUUAAGGUUUUAUCAGGUCUUCCUCAAAUUCCACAUCCAUUUGGUUUAUUAAUCCAAAGUUCUCAGCAAAUUUUCAUACCCAAGAUGAUCUGCUACAGGCACAAUCUAAACUCAGUCAUCUUUAAUACAAUUGGACAUUUCUUGUCAUGCCCUCCCCUACAAGAAGCAUAGCUAGUGGGAGGGAGGGUAGGAGAAGAGGUAGCAGGGAGGGGCAUAAACACACUGCAUUCAGGAGCACAUUCUUGAAAAGUAGCUUUCUAGUUAGACAUACUUUUAUGGAUUGAAUUGUGCCCCCAAAAAUAUCUGUCAACUUGGCUGGACCGUGAUUCCCAGUAUUGCCUGAUUGUCCCCCAUUUUGUCAUCUGAUGUGGUUUUCCUGUGUGUUGUAAAUCCUAUCUCUAUGAUAUUAUUGAGAUGAGAUUAGUGACAGUUAUGUUAAUGAGGCAGGACUCAAUCUACAAGAUUAGAUUGAGUCUAAAACCAAUCUCUUUCGAAAUAUUAAAGAGAGAAGUGAUGUAGGGUAAUGCUAUUCAGCUAUAUGCAUCCCCUCCGUAAUGGAAUCAGCUUUGCUGUUCCCCAAAGCACACUGGGGAUGAAUUUGGGAUAGACUCCAGCAAAGGUACAAGGUCGGGAGUGGUAUGACUGGGCCAGCAGCCAAGGCCAAGGAAUGUCUUAGCAACAAGAAGGAAAACAUCUGGGCCUGGACGUGAAGUCCCUGAGAACUCUGACUAUGCAAGGACGUGGGAGAAAAACAAUAAGCCUUGGACCCAAUGGUCUAUAAACUUGAGUCCUUGCUAGGUGGUUGCGGAAAAUACUCCAGCCAACUGCCACCGGAGAGCAGCUGCUUGCCCGUAUCAGUAAGUUUCCCUGAACUCAUGAAUCUGGAAAGGCCUACGUGUCAGUUCAUUGGAUUAUCUGCCAUGAUGCACAGUAAGGGUCUUUCCUUGCCGGGGAUGUCCCCCGACAAGCGAGCAGAGAGACAGGGGACCUCAUACCACCAAGAAAAAAGAGCCAGGAGAAUAGUUUGUCUUUUGGACCAGGGGUCCCUGCUCGGAGAAGCUCCUCGACUAGGGAAGAUUGAUGACGAGGACCUUCCCCCAGAGCCCACAGAGAAAGAAAGACUUCCUCUGGAGCUGGCACCCUGAAUUCGAACUUCUAGCUUCCUAGACUGUGAGAGAAUAAAUUUCUGUUUGUUAAAGCCACCUUCUUGUAGUAUCUCUGUUGUAGCAGCACUAGACAUCUAAGACACUUGCCAAGGAAAUGUUUUGACAUGAAGGCUGUUUUGCAGUGCUAAAACAUUUUACAAGAAGCAGUGGGAAACAUGUCAGGGUGCCAUCCCUUUUACAUUCUCACUUCAGCACACCCACCAUCCCAGGUCACAACUUCAGUUUUUUUUGCCAUGCUAUUAGGGACUGGCUUCAUUUUACUCAUCUCUACCUUGCUUUAAAUUGCUCCUUAAAUCAAAGCUUAACUUCUCUCUUUUUGGCCCUCAGAGAAAUUGUAGCUUUCAACAGCAACCACACACACAAACAAAACCAAAAACAAACAGAACAAAACAAAAACAAAACCCUUACUCGACUAGCUCACAGAAUGGGAACUAAAGAUGUAGGGUGGAAUUUUAGGUCGGUUGAUUCAUCUCCUCAAUUAUGUAAUUUAAACCUCAGGUUCUUUCCAUCUUUUUUCUCUGCCAUUCACAGUGUCCGUUCAUCGUGAAGCUGGUCUUAGAGCAAUUGCCAAUUGCAACUGCCACCGCGUGCUUUUUGUUCACAUCUUGUGAGAGGGAGACUUUACCUGUCUAUGACCCCUCUUAAGAGUGAAGAAACGUUUUUUAAGGUGCCCUCCAAAAAACUUUUACUUACUCUUCAUCACCAGAAGUGGUCAUGUUUGUGUUACUAAACAAUCCCUGUAUCAGAGGAAUCCAAUGUGUUCUUGGUUUUGGCUUGGUUACCUCUACCAACUCUAAGCAAGGAUAUUGGGAGCACCCAGACUGACUUAGACUAAUCAAGGCCCACCCCAGGGCUGGGGUCAAUCUCUGUACUCCAUGGGUCAGUUACCAUUCAAGUUAAUUUGACUUGUGGCAAUCACAUGUGUGUCAGCAGAACUGUGCUCCACAGUGUUUUCAAUGCUGAUUUUUCAGAAGUAAAUUGCCAGGCCUUUCUUUGGAGGUGCCUCUGGGGGUAUUUGAACUGCCAGCUUUUUGUUUAGCAGCUGUUUGCAUGACCCAGAGACUCCUAAUUGGUAGAAGUUGUUAAUUAAAGCUAUCCAGUUUUAAAUUUAUUUCUUUUUAGUAGACAAUAUCAUAAUAUUAUUUAUGAAAGAGUGUGUAAGGUGUGCAGUGGAAAGUGCCAAAGAAAGAAAACUAUAACAUGCUGAAGAAGUCCAAAGAAACACACUUCUGUCCUUCAAAAUUUCAUUGCCUGGUUCCAAGGUUUUCCGGUUUUGAAAAAUUUAAUUACAUUGAACUUUAGUGUAGUUUUCUUACGCUUGGGGCCUUACAUUUAUUAUGUACUUUAAUUCUCAUAAUGACCUAUAAUAUUUAGGCAGCAUCAUCCCUAUUUUAGAGGUGCAGAACUUGAGACUGAAGAAAGUUCAUCAACGAUCAUGCUCAUGUGAAGACUAUUAUCCUUGUACGCAGGGAUAAAUAACUUUUGCAGAGUAAUAAUCAGAGCAAUUUCAUUAGCUAGUAGUCUAUAUAAACACUGGAUAUCAUAAAGCAGUGAUAUUUAAAAAAUAUAUUUAAAAAGUGUAUUUAAAAAAAAUAGUGCAUUUAAAAAGUACAAUGCCAGAAAGGAGGCAUUCUUAAAGUUUCACCUACAAAAAAAGCAUUUGAGAAAAGUUAGUGAGGCAGAUACAGUUAACUGUGCUGUGGCUGAACAAAAGAGCUGUUAAAAGAUUACCACCUAGAAGUUGGGUAAACAGGAACCACACCCUGUCUUGAGACAGGCAGGGUUAGCUGUGCUGGUGGAACAAAAGAGCUGUUAAAAGAUUACCGUCUAGAAGUUGGGUAAACAGGAACCACACCCUGUCUUGAGACAGGGUUAACUGUGCUGGUGGAACAAAACCCAGAAAAGAUUACCAUCUAGAAGCUGGGAAAACAGGGACCCAACUUGUCAACAUGGGAUAAGAUUGAAAUAACCCAUGAAUUACUAUCUCCUUUUUUUUUUCUUAGUGUUUUUCUAGUCCCCUCCUUUACAGGCAUGUGCAAAAGAACAAAGUAGUGACUGCUGUUUAACCUUCCUUAGCCCUCCGAAGACGGCGAUGUAGUGCUGAAGAUCAAGUGAGCCUACACUAUAUCCCAUAAUAAGUGAUGCCAAGGGCUUCCAGCUGAGAAAACUCCAUUUUGAGUAUCAGCAAAUUCCAUCUUAGAUUCCAGAUGAGCCCCCCUCUGCAACCUAAUCAGCACACACAGCCAUUCUGAGAAGUAUCCGCCCCUCGAAAGAAGCCUAUUAAAUAUUCAUUACUCUAUUGUCUCCACCGAACCCAUAUAAGCCCUAAUCUUGCUUCCCUUUUCCAGUCAGUCUUUUGGAGAGGCUUAGAUCCUUGCUAACUCCUUUUGCUUGACUCAAGCAAAAUGAAGCUUGCUGAAGAUAGUCUUUUGCUUUUAUUCUUACCCGGGAAAAGACAAGGACCCUUUGUGUCAGACUAGCAUUUAGUAACAUUAGUACAAAAAAUAAUGGAAAGGGGGGGAACACUAGAAAAUUGAGAUCAGCUUGACGUAUUCUCUGGUAUAAUUCUCAGAUAAUAGGUUUGUAAGAUUUUAGAAAGGAAUGUAACUGAGAUAUAAACAAUUUUUUUUUGAUAAGUUUAUUUAAUAUAUAGAUUUGGGGGAUGAGAUAAGCUUACCAUGGGUUGACUUCAAUAAAGCAUUUGACAAAAUUCCCCUGAACUUUAUUUUGCUAUGGAUAUAGUGAGAAAAUGGAGAUUGGGUUAUGCAAGGUUACAGUAAACUUUUUUCUUUUUUUUAAACAAAGAACAUGGAAAAUGACUCUAUCAGCCUAUAGAGGUGCUUCUUUUGAACAUCAACAGAACUUGGUAGUGUCUUCAUCAACAUUUUAUUAGUAAUUUGAAUUAAGCCAUAAAAAGUUUAUAAGGGAGAGCUAUGUAAUUAACAACAGAAUCAAGAUUAAAAAUCUCAAUAUGAUGGAACAAUGGGAUAAAAAUCAACCAGGAAAGCUUAACAGGAUAUAUGUGAAGUCAUGUUUUUAGGUUAUAAUUAAUUACACAAAUACUGUAGAAGUCUAAAACAGAAAAUGUAACAAUACGACAGUACUAAAUUAAGCAUGCCUCCAUUUGGACCUCUUCCUACAAGCUGCUCCCUUCCUCACAUACACCCUAAUAUGAUGUGCUAUAUACAAGAGACACAUCUAAAAUAAAGGGACUCAGAAACGUUGGGAAUAAGAAAAGUAUAUAUAUUUUGCCUGGUAAAUAAAAUACUGUCUUAGUCAUCUAGUGCUGCUAUAACAGAAAUACCACAAGUGGAUGGCUUUAACAAAGAGAAAUUUAUUUCCUCACAGUAAAGUAGCGUAAAAGUCCAAAUUCAAGGCAUUAGUUCCAGGGGAAGGCUUUCUCUCUCUGUCGACUCUGGAGGAAGGUUCUUGUCCUCAAUCUUCCCACGGUCAAGGAGCUUCUAAGGCACAGGGACCCUGGGUCCAAAGGACACGCUUUGCUCUCCGUGCUGCUUUCUUGGUGGUAUGAGGUCUCCACUCUCUGCUUGCUUCCUUUUCAUCUCUUGAGAGAUAAAAGGUGGUGCAGGCCACACUCCAGGGAAACUCCCUUUACCUUGGCUCAGGGAGGUGACCUGAGUAAGGGUGGUGGUAAAAUCCCACCCUAAUCCUCUCAACAUAAAAUUACAAUCACAAAAUGGAGGACAACUACACAUGGCCUAACAAAGUUGGAACACUUUGGGGGGGACAUAAUUCAAUCCAUGACAAAUAUGGACAUUUUACAAUGGUAAAGGAUACAAUUCUCGAUAAAUAAAUAGCUCUUAUGAAUUUUUAGGCAUUAAAUAAAAAUAGUAUCUACAUUUAGAAUGCAAAAACCUCAGGGACAAAAGGAAAUACAGAGUUAUAGCGGCAAUACCCAUUGUUGUUGAGUGAGUCCGACUCACAGUGACCCUACAGAACCGAGGAGAACUUUCCAAGGCCGUAAUCUUUAUGGAAGUAGACUGCCACAUCUUUCUCCUGAUGGUUUUGAACCGCCAACCUUUUGGUAAGCAGCGAAACGCUUAACCACUAUGCCACUAGGACUCCAGUAGGAGACUUUACUCAGCUCUCUCAACCUACUGCUGAAGGAGACAAAAGUAAAGACAAAGAUUAUGAAAAUAGCAUAAUUAACAAGAUAAUCCCGAUAGAUAAACAUUGUUUUUGACUUACAGCAACCCCAUAUGACAGAGUAGAACUGCCAUAGGUUUCCUUGGCUGUAACCUUAACAGAUGAAGAUUACCAGGUCUUUCUCCCAGUGAUCUUCUGGGUGGGACUGAAACACCAGCUUUUUGGAUAGCAGCUAAGAACUUAACCUUUGUGCUACCACGGCUCCUUCAACAGAUAUAUAAAUUAGAAUUUGCAACUUUCCAUUAACCAUGGAACAUUUAUAAAACUGAUCAUAUAUUAGCUCACAAAAAAAACCUUGAUAAAUUUCAAAAAAUAUUUUUUGUUAGGUGCCAUUCAGUAGGUUCCUACUCAUAGUGACCCUAUGUAUCACUGUCCGGUUCUGUGCCAUCCUUACAAUCGUUGUUAUGCUUAAGCCCAUUGUUGCAGCCACUGUGUCAAUCUGUUACCAGAGAAUAGCCUCGGUUCUUAUCUUCAGUGUAGGAAAGAAUUCAAAUACUGAGACAUAUAGUGCCAAGUGAGCAGAGGUUUAUUAGCAAGCAGAGGGUUAGUAGCGAAACUACACUUGACUAGGGAGCGUCAAGUGGUCUACUCAGGUAGAGAAAGAAUCUGAGCGCUCGAUAGUUGUUUUCUUAGGGUUUUAUACCCUUCUUGUCUCUUAUCUCUCCCUGUUAAUGUUUAACAGUCAAGACAGGGACCCCUAUAAAGACUAUUUCCUUGGCUUACGGUUUAAUUACCAAGUUAGGGACCUUAUCAAGUUAGGGACUUUAUCAAGUUAAGGAACCAUAUAGGGAUUGUUUCCUUGGCUUAAAGUUUAACUAUGUAGGAGCCAUCUUAUUGAGGAAUGUCACCACCCCCUACCUCUUCCUUUUCCCGAGUGCAAGCUCUCCCCUUCCCCCUUACAAACCCAUCUCGUUGUAGGUCUUCCUCUUUUUUGCUGACCCUCUACUUUACCAAGCAUGAUAUCCUUCUCCAGCGACUGAUCCCUUGUGAUAAAAUGUCCAAAGUAUGUGAGACAUAGUCUCAUCACCCUUGCUUCUAAGGAGCAUACUUGAUGUACUUCUUCCAAGACAGAUAUGUUUGUUCUUUUGGCAGUCCUGGUAUAUUCGAUAUUCUCCUCCAACACAAUUCAAAGGCAUCAAUUCUUCAGUCUUCUUUAUUCAUCGUCCAGCUUAUUUUAUAUUAAGCUACCUAUGAGAUAUAUAAACUACACGACGUUUUACAGAUAAAGCAGAAGACUCAAAGAAACUGUAUUUAAUGGGAUGAUUUGGGGCAGAUUCCUUCCUCCCCAGUCCUUCAUUCUUCUUAGGGGAAGAAACAACAACUUCAAGAAACCUUUUGCAGUUAUGUCUCUCCACAGUUUCAUGAAAUCCACAGUGAGUGAAUCCCUGAUAAGAUGAAGUUAAUAAAGUGUGGCUUUUACCACCGACUCUGCACAGGAAAUUAAUGAACACUCAGUGCUCUAGGAAUCCCUGGGUGGUGCAAAUGGUUAAUACUCUUGGCUGCUAAAUGAAAGGUUGGAGGUUGGAGUCCAUCCUGAGGCACCUCAGAAGAAAGGCCUCAAAAUCUACUUCCACACACAUAGGGUUGCCAGGGCACCUGGGUUUUCUUUUGUUUUUUUUUGGCAAUUUCAGAUUCGAAGCAAUUUCCAUUAUGAUUGCAUUUAAGGCCCUGGGCCAGGUCUUUAGAGGAACAUUUUUGGGAAGGGAGCAUGUCCUUACUUCCCCAGGGGCAAAGGAAACUGCCUAUUCAGCUACACUGAGUUUCUCCUGGGUAAGGGAGGGCUGUGUCUUAUUUACUUUUAUAUCCCUAGUACAGGCUGAAGGAUUGGCACACAGUAGGUGCAAGGAUAAUGUAAGCUUCCACUUACCUUUUGGCAGCUAAGACAGGCUUAGGGACAUUGACUAUCCCCUUUUCUAUC